GGGUAAGUAAGCUCAAUCGGUAGAGCAUCAUGCUAAAAACGUGAAGGUUGUGAGUUCGAGUCUCACCAUGACCG
Molecule: transfer RNA, 74 nt
Filed under: Terfezia boudieri ATCC MYA-4762
Lineage: Eukaryota; Fungi; Ascomycota; Pezizomycetes; Pezizales; Pezizaceae
Rfam family: tRNA
About the family: Transfer RNA (tRNA) molecules are approximately 80 nucleotides in length. Their secondary structure includes four short double-helical elements and three loops (D, anti-codon, and T loops).
Source: Rfam by way of RNAcentral